This is a long non-coding RNA of Trachemys scripta elegans, 1100 nucleotides long. RefSeq lists it as uncharacterized. The record is from RefSeq and is a predicted model, not a curated record. NCBI's taxonomy places the organism in Eukaryota, Metazoa, Chordata, Testudines, Emydidae. The transcript is spliced from 3 exons.
CUGAGGGUGACAUUGUGUCUCUGGAGACCCACGAGGGCGACUCCCUGAACCUGAGCUGUGAGGCUGGGAGCAGACCUGAGGCCACCCUGAGCUGGGCCAGGACGAACAGGUCCCUGAUCCCUGGCCAGGGAAGGGACCGGCACUUGGAGCUGCCGAAUCUCAGCAGAGGGGACGCUGGGGAGUAUCGGUGCUGGGCAAAGAAUUCCUAUGGAUCAGCCAGCCGGGCCCUGCGUGUGCACGUGCAGACUCUAGAGAGGACUCUGCAAAUCACCGUCUCCAGAGCUAACAGGAGCGACCCCCAGCUAUUCCAAGAUCCCAGCACCACGGUGAGGAAUGGCUCACAGCUCACGGCCCGGGAGGGCGACUCCCUGCGGUUCCUCUGCUCUGUCGCCAGCAGCCCCCCCGCUGCACUGGGCUGGGUGAACGGGGGCCGAGCCAUUGAGGGCGCCCACCCCGCGGGGGAGAAUCAGCUGCGGCUGGAGCUGCCCAAUGUGACAGCCGAGGACGGGGGGCUGUACGGGUGCUGGGCCCAGAACAAGGAGAGCUCUGCCCAGGGAACGUUCCAGCUUCUCGUUGAGUGUGAGUGGAGUUAACCUGUGGGACUACCUGCCCCUGGAUAUUAGUGGGGUUAAUCCACACAACUCCCUACCACUGGGUGUUAGUGGGGGUAACCUGCGGUACUCCCUGCCACUUGGUUUCUCUCUCUGACUAUUGUCACUGUAUCUCUUGCUCUCUGCAGACAGCCCCCGGCCGGGGACCAGGCUGAACUCGUCCUGCCAGCACCAGGGGCCCAGCGUCAACUGCAGCUGCUCCCUGCGCUCCCACCCCCCACUCCGGCUCCAGUGGCAGGUGGAUGGGGAGCCCCUGGCUGGGAACGGCUCAUGGGGAGCCCUGCAGGUCAGCUCGUGGGCCCAGGGGGACGAGGCCGUCAGCACCCUGAGCUGGACGGGGAGCAGGGACAGGGGCCCCCGGAUCUUCUGCCUCGGCUCCAACCCCCACGGGACCUACGCCGCCCUGCACUUUGAACUCAGCCCCCCACAGAGAGGUGAGACAUUCAGAUUCCUGGGUUCUGUCCCCAGGUCGGGGAGUGGAGUGGGGUC